CAAUAGCGUAUAUUAAAGUUGUUGCAGUUAAAAAGCUCGUAGUUGGAUUUCUGGUGGGAGCGAUCGGUCUGGCGCUUAGCGCGAGUACUUGCAUCGUCUCCGGCCAUCCUUGGGGAGAGUCUGUCUGGCAUUAGGUUGUCGGGCAGAGGAUCCCCAUCGUUUACUGUGAAAAAAUUAGAGUGUUCAAAGCAGGCUUAUGCCGUUGAAUAUAUUAGCAUGGAAUAAUAAGAUAGGACUUUGGUACUAUUUUGUUGGUUUGCGCACCAAAGUAAUGAUUAAUAGGGACAGUUGGGGGUAUUCGUAUUCCGUUGUCAGAGGUGAAAUUCUUGGAUUUACGGAAGACGAACUACUGCGAAAGCAUUUACCAAGGAUGUUUUCAUUAA
Molecule: ribosomal RNA, 383 nt
Filed under: uncultured eukaryote
Lineage: Eukaryota
Description: partial 18S ribosomal RNA
Rfam family: Eukaryotic small subunit ribosomal RNA
Source: RNAcentral